Molecule: long non-coding RNA, 1094 nt
Filed under: Bos taurus (domestic cattle)
Lineage: Eukaryota; Metazoa; Chordata; Mammalia; Artiodactyla; Bovidae
Description: long non-coding RNA NONBTAT007393
Source: RNAcentral
AAGUUUAACCCUUUUUAUUCUUAGGAAUAUUUUUUGAAAAUCUCAGGAGUCUUGGAAGCUGGCUUUCAGACAGGGUGAUUGGCAGAGUUUUAAAGGGUUUACGGAUACAUUGAACCAUGUAAGAGAUUUUCAGUCUUAGGCAAAGGAUAUGACAAAUAUAGAAAACCCAAGAAAGAAACAUAAGCAGACUUUGGAUAGUUCCUAGACAUUCACUUAGCCAAGAAAAGGGAAAUGAAACAGGUCUUCUAUAUCGAUAGGCAUUCAUCAACAAAUUUUAAAGCUUUAGUUAGGAAGUGUGUCAGUCUUGAGUAGUGCCUGCCUCAGUAGAUAACCACCUUCUAAUCCCAAUAUCUUCUUGAAACAGCCAAGAUAAUGUGGGAUAAUAUCCCUAGGUGUACACUUCAAUUAAGAAAUGAAAAGCCAUACUUCCAGCCCAUCAAGAAAGAGGGAAAUGUGGAGGUCGGCAACAUGUGAGAUCUACAACAUAUGACAGGAAGAAUAAAAAGCUUAAAAGCCUGCUUAGGAUAACUCUUAUAGCCUUAUCUUAUAUGCUCUGUAUUUGCUAAUACAAUUUAGCAUCAUUUAGUAAGUGAUUUAUUCUAGUUGGUAAAAUAAUGAGAAAGAAUUGGAUCACUGCCUCUACAAAGAAUUUCUCUGAGUUUAGACAGGCGAUUGAACUCGUAAUUGCCAAAAUAUAUUCCCUGGUUAAGUCACCACAGAACGGCUAACUUUACGCUUGAGUUAUUAAUAAUGUUUAAAAAGAACACAGAGCGUAUAUUUUAUGCUCUAAUUGAAAAAUACAGAAAAGAAGGUAGACUUAUCUUUAUAGAAAGUUUAUGUGAUCGAGCUAAAACACAUUAAGUAGCAAAGAUCCUAAAACAAUGUUUUGCCUUUUUUUUCUUCCUUUUUAACUUGUUCCCAUUUGUUUCAAUGAAAUGAUGGGGAAGCCUCAAUGGCACUUUUGGUUUCUGCAAGAAGUGUGACAUAUCAAAACCAAAAUGUUUACAAUGUGAAAUGAGUAUGCAGCUCUCAGCCCCAUUAGUUCUGAGGACUGAUUCCUCAAUUGAUCAUGCUUUCAUUAGUCUUCAGAAUCC